UGACGGUACCCUUUCGAAUAAGAGGUUGCUAACUCUGUGCCAGCAGCAGCGGUAAUACAGAGACCUCGAGCGUUAUCCGGAUUUACUGGGCGUAAAGCGUCUGUAGGGGGUUUGUUAAGUUCCAAGUAAAAUCUUAAGGCUCAACUUUAAGUUCGCUUGGAAAACUAAUAAACUGGAGUCCAGCAGAGGUGCAUGGAACUUGCGGUGUAGGAGUGAAAUCCGUUGAUAUCGCAAGGAACACCAAAGGCGAAGGCAUUGCACUGGGCUGGUACUGACCCUGAGAGACGAAAGCGUGGGGAGCAAAACGGAUUAGAUACCCGUGUAGUCCACGCCGUAAACGAUGGAUACUAGAUGUUCGGGGAUUCGACCCCCUGGGUGUCACAGCUAACGCGUUAAGUAUCCCGCCUGGGAAGUACGGCCGCAAGGCUAAAACUCAAAGGAAUAGACGGGGAUCCGCACAAGCGGUGGAGCGUCUGGUUUAAUUUGAUAGUAAGCAAUGGACCUCACCAAGGUUUGACAUCCUAUGACAACCCUGGAAACAGGGCUUCCUUCGGGCAUAGUGACAGGUGCUGCAUGGUCGUCGUCAGUUCGUGCCGUGAGGUGUUCCGUUAAGUCGGGAAACGAACGAAACCCUCGUCGCAUGUUACAAAUUUCAUGCGAGACUGCCCGGGUCAACCGGGAGGAAGGCGGGGAUGACGUCAGAUCAGCAUGGCCCUUAUACCUUGGGCUACACAGGCGCUACAAUGGCCGGUACAAAGGGUUGCAAAACCGCGAGGUGAAGCUAAUCCCAUAAAGCCGGUCCAAGUUCGGAUUGGAGGCUGCAACUCGCCUCCAUGAAGUUGGAAUCGCUAGUAAUCGUGGAUCAGCCAUACCACGGUGAAUACGUUCCCGGAUCUUGUACUCACCGCCCGUCGCACCAAGAGAGUUGGUAGCUCCUGAAGCGUCGCAUUAG
RNAcentral lists this ribosomal RNA (952 nucleotides) under uncultured organism. RNAcentral's name for it is "bacterial SSU rRNA". It matches the Rfam family "Bacterial small subunit ribosomal RNA", at positions 470 to 1438 of the family's 1533-position model. The record is from RNAcentral.